GGGCCCGUAGCUCAGCCUGGUGGAGCGGCGGGCUCUUAACCCGUAGGUCCCGGGUUCAAAUCCCGGCGGGCCCGCCA
Molecule: transfer RNA, 77 nt
Filed under: Desulfurococcaceae archaeon
Lineage: Archaea; Thermoproteati; Thermoproteota; Thermoprotei; Desulfurococcales; Desulfurococcaceae
Also listed under: 4 other names
Description: tRNA-Lys
Rfam family: tRNA
About the family: Transfer RNA (tRNA) molecules are approximately 80 nucleotides in length. Their secondary structure includes four short double-helical elements and three loops (D, anti-codon, and T loops).
Source: RNAcentral